AAACAUCGAUUGUACUACACACAUCAUCCGCCCGGGAAUUAUGAACACCAGUUUAAAACCCAAAGGACUUGGCGGUGCUUAACAUCCACCUAGAGGAGCCUGUUCUAGAACCGAUAAUCCCCGUUUAACCUCACCCUCUCUUGUUUAUUCCCGCCUAUAUACCGCCGUCGUCAGCUUACCCUGUGAAGGUCUAACAGUAAGCAAAAUUGGUACAACCCAAAACGUCAGGUCGAGGUGUAGCGAAUGGGAGGGGAAGAAAUAGGCUACAUUUACUAUUCAUAGUAAAAACGAAUGUUGGAUUGAAACAUCUGACUGAAGGAGGAUUUAGCAGUAAGCAGGAAAUAGAGCGUCCC
RNAcentral lists this ribosomal RNA (353 nucleotides) under Pleuronichthys cornutus (ridged-eye flounder). RNAcentral's name for it is "partial 12S ribosomal RNA". It matches the Rfam family "Bacterial small subunit ribosomal RNA", at positions 801 to 1360 of the family's 1533-position model. Lineage: Eukaryota; Metazoa; Chordata; Actinopteri; Pleuronectiformes; Pleuronectidae. The record is from RNAcentral.